This 429-nucleotide ribosomal RNA is filed under the name Chloroflexota bacterium. Its description in RNAcentral is "Chloroflexi bacterium partial 16S ribosomal RNA". It matches the Rfam family "Bacterial small subunit ribosomal RNA", at positions 355 to 776 of the family's 1533-position model. Lineage: Bacteria; Bacillati; Chloroflexota. The record is from RNAcentral.
UGGGGAAUAUUGCACAAUGGGCGCAAGCCUGAUGCAGCCAUGCCGCGUGUAUGAAGAAGGACUACGGGUUGUAAAGUACUUUCAGCGGGGAGGAAGGGAGUAAAGUUAAUACCUUUGCUCAUUGACGUUACCCGCAGAAGAAGCACCGGCUAACUCCGUGCCAGCAGCCGCGGUAACACGGAGGGUGCAAGCGUUAAUCGGAAUGACUGUGCGUAAAGCGCACGCAGGCAGUUUGUUAAGUCAGAUGUGAAAUCCCCGGGCUCAACCUGCGAACUGCAUCUGAGACUGGCAAGCUUGAGUCUGGUAGAGGGGGGUAGAAGUCCAGGUGUAGCGGUGAAAUGCGUAGAGAUCUAGAGGAAUACCGGUGGCGAAGGCGGCCCCCUGGGCGAAGACUGACGCUCAGGUGCGAAAGAGUGGGGAGCAAACUGG